This 69-nucleotide transfer RNA is filed under the name Urocitellus parryii (Arctic ground squirrel). RNAcentral's name for it is "Spermophilus parryii (Arctic ground squirrel) tRNA". It matches the Rfam family "tRNA". Rfam says of the family: Transfer RNA (tRNA) molecules are approximately 80 nucleotides in length. RNAcentral also lists the same sequence under 2 other names. The record is from Rfam by way of RNAcentral. Lineage: Eukaryota; Metazoa; Chordata; Mammalia; Rodentia; Sciuridae.
GGGGUUGUGGUUCAGUGGUGGAGCACUUGCUUAGCAAGCAUGAGGCACUGAGUUCGAUUCUUAGCUCCA